AGGCGAACGGCUGAGUAACACGUGGGCAACCUGCCCUUUGCACUGGGAUAGCCUCGGGAAACCGAGGUUAAUACCGGAUACUCCAUAUUUGUCGCAUGGCGAAUAUGGGAAAGCUCCGGCGGCAAAGGAUGGGCCCGCGGCCUGUUAGCUAGUUGGUGGGGUAGUGGCCUACCAAGGCAAUGAUGGGUAGCCGGGUUGAGAGACCGACCGGCCAGAUUGGGACUGAGACACGGCCCAGACUCCUAUGGGAGGCAGCAGUC
Molecule: ribosomal RNA, 260 nt
Filed under: uncultured Atopobium sp.
Lineage: Bacteria; Bacillati; Actinomycetota; Coriobacteriia; Coriobacteriales; Atopobiaceae
Description: partial 16S ribosomal RNA
Rfam family: Bacterial small subunit ribosomal RNA
Source: RNAcentral